GUAGGGAGCAAGCGUUGUCCGGAAUUACUGGGCGUAAAGGGUGCGUAGGCGGCGCAGUUAGUCAGAAGUGAAAUAUCGGGGCUUAACCCCGGGGCUGCUUCUGAUACUGCUGUGCUCGAGUGCAGGAGAGGUAAGUGGAAUUCCUAGUGUAGCGGUGAAAUGCGUAGAUAUUAGGAGGAACACCAGUGGCGAAGGCGACUUACUGGACUGUAACUGACGCUGAGGCACGAAAGCGUGGGUAGCAAA
Molecule: ribosomal RNA, 246 nt
Filed under: uncultured bacterium
Lineage: Bacteria
Description: partial 16S ribosomal RNA
Rfam family: Bacterial small subunit ribosomal RNA
Source: RNAcentral